UACGGAAGGCAGCAGUGGGGAAUAUUGGACAAUGGGCGCAAGCCUGAUCCAGCCAUGCCGCGUGUGUGAAGAAGGCCUUCGGGUUGUAAAGCACUUUUGUCCGGAAAGAAAAGCUUAGGGUUAAUAACCUUGAGUCAUGACGGUACCGGAAGAAUAAGCACCGGCUAACUUCGUGCCAGCAGCCGCGGUAAUACGAAGGGUGCAAGCGUUACUCGGAAUUACUGGGCGUAAAGCGUGCGUAGGUGGUUUUGUUAAGUCUGAUGUGAAAGCCCUGGGCUCAACCUGGGAAUGGCAUUGGAAACUGGCUUACUAGAGUGCGGUAGAGGGGUGUGGAAUUCCCGGUGUAGCAGUGAAAUGCGUAGAUAUCGGGAGGAACAUCUGUGGCGAAGGCGACACCCUGGGACCAGCACUGACACUGAGGCACGAAAGCGUGGGGAGCAAACGAGGAUUAGAUACC
Molecule: ribosomal RNA, 457 nt
Filed under: uncultured bacterium
Lineage: Bacteria
Description: bacterial SSU rRNA
Rfam family: Bacterial small subunit ribosomal RNA
Source: RNAcentral